This 362-nucleotide transfer-messenger RNA is filed under the name Salmonella enterica. It matches the Rfam family "transfer-messenger RNA". Rfam says of the family: Bacterial tmRNA, also known as 10Sa RNA or SsrA, is named for its dual tRNA and mRNA-like properties. Lineage: Bacteria; Pseudomonadati; Pseudomonadota; Gammaproteobacteria; Enterobacterales; Enterobacteriaceae. The record is from RNAcentral. RNAcentral also lists the same sequence under 1 other name.
GGGGCUGAUUCUGGAUUCGACGGGAUUUGCGAAACCCAAGGUGCAUGCCGAGGGGCGGUUGGCCUCGUAAAAAGCCGCAAAAAAAUAGUCGCAAACGACGAAACCUACGCUUUAGCAGCUUAAUAACCUGCUUAGAGCCCUCUCUCCCUAGCCUCCGCUCUUAGGACGGGGAUCAAGAGAGGUCAAACCCAAAAGAGAUCGCGCGGAUGCCCUGCCUGGGGUUGAAGCGUUAAAACGAAUCAGGCUAGUCUGGUAGUGGCGUGUCCGUCCGCAGGUGCCAGGCGAAUGUAAAGACUGACUAAGCAUGUAGUACCGAGGAUGUAGGAAUUUCGGACGCGGGUUCAACUCCCGCCAGCCCACCA